Molecule: ribosomal RNA, 100 nt
Filed under: Paramormyrops kingsleyae
Lineage: Eukaryota; Metazoa; Chordata; Actinopteri; Osteoglossiformes; Mormyridae
Source: RNAcentral
CCUGUAGUUCAGACUAGGUCGUACACCUGAUGCUAAGCAGGUUUAGACUUGGCCAGUAAUUGAAUGGGAGACCAACUCGGAAAGCUGGGUUACUGCUGGA